Molecule: ribosomal RNA, 253 nt
Filed under: uncultured bacterium
Lineage: Bacteria
Description: partial 16S ribosomal RNA
Rfam family: Bacterial small subunit ribosomal RNA
Source: RNAcentral
UACGUAGGGGGCUAGCGUUGCCCGGAAUCACUGGGCGUAAAGGGCGUGUAGGCGGUUUUUUAAGUCUGGUGUGAAAUCUCCCGGCUCAACCGGGAGGGUGCGCCGAAAACUGGGAGACUAGAGGGCGGGAUGGGAGAGUAGAAUUCCUGGUGUAGCGGUGAAAUGCGUAGAUAUCAGGAGGAACACCGGUGGCGAAGGCGGGUCUCUGGGCCAUAACUGACGCUGAGAAGCGAAAGCAUGGGGAGCGAACAGG